Molecule: small nucleolar RNA, 71 nt
Organism: Megalops cyprinoides (Indo-Pacific tarpon)
Lineage: Eukaryota; Metazoa; Chordata; Actinopteri; Elopiformes; Megalopidae
Product: small nucleolar RNA SNORD73
Exons: 1
Source: RefSeq, a predicted model, not a curated record
AGUACGUGAUGACAACAGUUUCGGUCCCAAAUGACAAGCAGUGAUUACUUGUUAUGAGAUCUACUGAUGUU